UAUAAUCGAAAUCCGCUAUGAAUCGUUUUACUGAUACCGAAAUCUUAUCAUUGACGAAAAACUGUUUAUUACUGUUCUAUAAUCAUUUCACUAAUUAGUUUUUUGGUCAUUCGGUAGGUAUGUCCAAUAAUAAGUUACCUAUUAAGAUAAAAUAAUAAAUAAUUGGGAUAUAAAGUACAAUAAUAAUUAUCAAUAUUGUUACUCAGUGGCGUGGCGAAGUGAAAUAUUUUAUCGGGGAAUUCAUUUUUUUUUAAUGGCCUACUACCACCCCUCAACUCUUAGGCAUUGAUCAUUAUCAUUACCCAUGAAUAAACUAAAAUGAUAGUUUAAAUUGCCAUAUUCCUUGUUGUUUUUUACAGUAUUCUGGGCUGAUGGCUUUUCCUUGAAUACUUAUUAUUAAUUUUAUUAUUCUUAUUUAAUAUCAUAUGACAUAUUCUGAUGAAGUUAAUCUUGUACUACAAUUUUUCCACACACU
This is a non-coding RNA of Cinara cedri, 475 nucleotides long. The record is from the annotation of a GenBank genome assembly. NCBI's taxonomy places the organism in Eukaryota, Metazoa, Arthropoda, Insecta, Hemiptera, Aphididae.